UCGCUGAGCAGGCUUGAAUGGGCCUGUGUGCUGUGCUCCUUAUCCUGCCGCUGGAUGCUGUGGACUGUGCUCAGGCAAGCUCCGAAGUUGCGACAUGGAUGAACUGACCUAUGAUGAUGUGCAUGUGAACUUCACUCAAGAAGAAUGGGCUUUACUGAAUCCUUCACAGAAGAGCCUCUACAGAGAUGUGAUGUUGGAGACCUAUAGGAACCUCAAUGCUGUAGGCAUGAAAGAAGUCGUAAUGGAGAGAAAACCCCUGAAAAUACUCAGUGUGGUAAAGUCUUUGCAUGUCACAGUUAUCCUCCAAGGCAUGAAAGAAUUCAUAAUGGAGAGAACCUCUAUGAAGGCAUUCAGUAUGGUGAAAACUUUGUACAUCACAGCAGUCUCCAAAUGCAUAAAAUAAUACACACUGGAGAGAAACAAUACAAAUACAAUCAAUGUGAUAAAGCCUAUUCACAAAAAAGUAUUCUCCAAAUACAUAAAAGAACACAUGCUGGAAAGAAACUCUAUGAAUGUAAUCACAGUGGUAAAGCCUUUUCACAACACAGUCAUCUCAAAAUGCAUUUAAUUACACAUACUGGAGAGAAAUCUUACAAAUGUAAUCAAUGUGGUAAAGCCUUUGCAUAUCAUACUAGUCUGCGAGUACAUAAAAUAACACAUACUGGAGAGAAGCCUUACAAAUGUGAUCAAUGUGGUAAAGACUUUGGAAGACACAGUCGUCUUAAAAUGCAUAAAAUAGUACAUACUGGAGAGAAACCUUACAAAUGUAAUCAAUGUGGUAAAGCCUUUGUAUAUCAUAAUACUCUCCAAGUACAUAAAAGAAUACAUACUGGAGAGAAACUCCAUGAAUGUAAGCAGUGUGGUAAAUUCUUUGUCUGUCAAGGUCACCUUCAAAGCCAUCAAAGAACUCAUACUGGAGAGAAACCUUUCAAAUGUAAUCAAUGUGAUAAAGCCUUUGCUCAAAAACAUUAUCUUAAAAGGCAUUUAAUAACACAUACUGGAGAGAAACCUUACAAAUGUGAUCAAUGUGGCAAAGCCUUUGCACAUCAAAGUUAUUUUAAAGUACAUAAAAGAAUUCAUACUGGAGAGAAGCCCUAUAAAUGUAAUCAAUGUGGUAAAGCCUUUGCUCAAGAACGUAAUUUCAAAAGGC
This 1150-nucleotide long non-coding RNA is filed under the name Mus musculus (house mouse). RNAcentral describes it as "predicted gene, 21060". The record is from RNAcentral. Lineage: Eukaryota; Metazoa; Chordata; Mammalia; Rodentia; Muridae.